Molecule: unclassified non-coding RNA, 250 nt
Filed under: Ascomycota sp.
Lineage: Eukaryota; Fungi; Ascomycota
Description: partial contains small subunit ribosomal RNA, internal transcribed spacer 1, and 5.8S ribosomal RNA
Rfam family: Eukaryotic small subunit ribosomal RNA (bases 1-47)
Source: RNAcentral
AAAGUCGUAACAAGGUUUCCGUAGGUGAACCUGCGGAAGGAUCAUUAAUGUAUAUUGAAUUUUAUAUUCUUUAUCAACCCACACUGUGUACCUUUUUACUGUUGCUUCCAUGGGACUUGGCUCUGCCACGUCGGCCUUAUGGCUGGUGAGUGCCCAUGGGAGGAAAACAAAACUCUUUGUUACAAUUGACGUCUGUCUGAAUUGUUUAUAUUAAACGUUAAAACUUUCAACAACGGAUCUCUUGGUUCUC